UGUUUUUUUACUAAGAAAUAAAUUUUGCUCACUGUUUUUCAAGAGCCGAUUUUUGCUAAGGUAGGGCAAUAAUUAGCUUAUCAAUUGUAAGCAAGUAUGAAAGAAUAAAUCUUUAAUUUUUUUUAGAAGAAAAACAAAUAAAAAUUAAAAAAUUAUCAAAAUAAAUUUUUAUUUGGAAAGACGAGAAGACCCCAGAAAUUUCACUAACAAAGUUUAUUUGGGGAAAAUUUGUUUAAAUUAUCAAAAAAUAAAAAAAAAAAAUAACCUCAAUACCAAUAAAUUACUCUGGGGAUAACAGAACAAUUUUUUGAAAGAGAUCUUAUCUAUCAAAAAGAUUGUCACCUCGAUGUUGGAUCCUAAAAUCUAAAAGUUGAAGAAAACUUAACAGAAUAAACUGUUCGUUUUUUGAAUUUAA
This 415-nucleotide ribosomal RNA is filed under the name Paracaphyllisa sp. NJAUAcariEriYN304.3. RNAcentral's name for it is "partial 16S ribosomal RNA". The stretch from base 175 to 415 matches the Rfam family "Bacterial large subunit ribosomal RNA", at positions 2074 to 2597 of the family's 2925-position model. Lineage: Eukaryota; Metazoa; Arthropoda; Arachnida; Trombidiformes; Eriophyidae. The record is from RNAcentral.